CUGAGUACGGCGGAACACGUGAAAUUCCGUCGGAAUCCGGGAGGACCAUCUCCCAAGGCUAAAUACUCCCUAGUGACCGAUAGUGAACCAGUACCGUGAGGGAAAGGUGAAAAGCACCCCGGAAGGGGAGUGAAACAGUUCCUGAAACCGUGUGCCUACAAGUAGUUAGAGCCCGUUAAUGGGUGAUAGCGUGCCUUUUGUAGAAUGAACCGGCGAGUUACGAUUUGUUGCAAGGUUAAGCGGAAAAAGCGGAGCCGUAGCGAAAGCGAGUCUGAAUAGGGCGCAUAAGUAACAGGUCGUAGACCCGAAACCAGGUGAUCUACCCAUGUCCAGGAUGAAGGUAAGGUAAUACUUACUGGAGGUCCGAACCCACGCACGUUGAAAAGUGCGGGGAUGAGGUGUGGGUAGCGGAGAAAUUCCAAUCGAACUUGGAGAUAGCUGGUUCUCUCCGAAAUAGCUUUAGGGCUAGCCUCGAGGUAAAGAGUCAUGGAGGUAGAGCACUGUUUGGACUAGGGGCCCUUCUCGGGUUACCGAA
This 535-nucleotide ribosomal RNA is filed under the name Listeria monocytogenes. RNAcentral describes it as "partial 23S ribosomal RNA". It matches the Rfam family "Bacterial large subunit ribosomal RNA", at positions 408 to 943 of the family's 2925-position model. Lineage: Bacteria; Bacillati; Bacillota; Bacilli; Caryophanales; Listeriaceae. The record is from RNAcentral.